This 136-nucleotide small nucleolar RNA is filed under the name Ornithorhynchus anatinus (platypus). The record is from RNAcentral. Lineage: Eukaryota; Metazoa; Chordata; Mammalia; Monotremata; Ornithorhynchidae.
AGUCUCGGGGUCGCACCUGGAGAGUUUCCAGUCCUCUACCAGUCUCGGCUACGGGAGGGAGAGUCAAGCAGAGGCCUGUCCAUUCCCUUCCUAGCUGGGCCAGUGGCUAGUGAGCGGAAGGCAAUCUGCUACAAGG